RNAcentral lists this transfer RNA (69 nucleotides) under Parathyginus sp. RNAcentral's name for it is "tRNA-Val". Lineage: Eukaryota; Metazoa; Arthropoda; Insecta; Hemiptera; Heterogastridae. The record is from RNAcentral.
CAAGUUAUUUCUUAGUGAUAAAUGUUAUUUACAAUAACGUUUUGGUUUGUGCAAUUCAGCCUAACUUGA